AAUUAUUAAAGAAAGAUAUUGUUUUUCUUUCCUUAAGAUAAAUUGCAUACAUGUAAUAAGAAAAUCUAAAGUUAAAUUUUAUAGGUGGUCAAUAUACCUAGGCAUGAACAAAAGCUAACCUUAACCGUAUUUUUAACCGUAACCGAAUCGUUUAUCAACCGUAACCGGACCGUAACCGUAUAAAACGGUUAAAAAUUGUAACCGUUAACCGUAAAAGUAAAUUAGUUACGGUUAAAAAAUAAUAAUAACCGUAACCGUUAAUUAACCGUAACCAUAAUUAAUCGUCGGUUAACCGUACGGUUAAACGCUCGGUUAACCGCAUAUUUAAAUUUUUAAAAUAAAUUAUAUUAUAACUGUAUACAAUACCCAGAUUUAACUAAUUCACUAUAAAUAAUUGAAAUCAGAUAUAUUUUUUACUUGUAAAAUAAAUAAUAUUUCAUAAAAUUUUAUCUCCAAUAUUAAUAUUAUAAUAAUCAUCAAAUAACCGUAGCCGUAUUUAACUGUAACCGUAAUUAACCGUAACCGUAUAUAACCGUAACCGUCUUAACCGUAUAUAUAAUGAUUAAGGUUAUAGUUAAAAAAAUUAUAACCGUUAACCGGUGGUUAAUUAACCAUAACCGCAUUAACCGUAACCGUGGUCAUGCCUAAAUAUACCUGGUGUACGUAAUAAUACAAAAACAAAAUACUCUAUUACAGUAUUUAGUUUUAAAAUCGUUUUAAAAACAUGGCAUAGAUUUCUUCUUCACUUGUUAUCAAAAAUAAAUUAAAAAAAAAAGGCAUGGACAAUCUAUUUUUAUAUAUAUUUCCCUACUCGUGACCUUGUUUGGGUCGUUAAAGAAUAUAAAAAAACACCACAUGUUUUAUUUUGUGACACCUACUUUUUCGUUACCAUCCACCCUAUUUUUUUAUUAUUCUUUUUCUGUCAUAAAAAAAUUGUAACGAC
Molecule: long non-coding RNA, 943 nt
Filed under: Capsella rubella
Lineage: Eukaryota; Viridiplantae; Streptophyta; Magnoliopsida; Brassicales; Brassicaceae
Description: long non-coding RNA (CRUB_LNC003594)
Source: RNAcentral